RNAcentral lists this small nucleolar RNA (113 nucleotides) under Meriones unguiculatus (Mongolian gerbil). RNAcentral describes it as "Small nucleolar RNA SNORA17 (ENSMUGG00000015908.1)". It matches the Rfam family "Small nucleolar RNA SNORA17". From Rfam's summary of the family: snoRNA ACA 17 belongs to the H/ACA family of snoRNAs and is predicted to guide pseudouridylation of the 28S rRNA at positions U4659 and U4598. It shares the same host gene together with ACA43. Lineage: Eukaryota; Metazoa; Chordata; Mammalia; Rodentia; Muridae. The record is from RNAcentral.
CCUGCCCUUAGAGGCAUCACAGGUGUGGCUGCUGUGUCACAUGUGCCUCAGCAGGUGGCAGAGGGGAAACAGACUCAGUAUUCUGAACUAUGAACAUCUGAAUGAUUAGUAGG